Molecule: long non-coding RNA, 3326 nt
Organism: Astatotilapia calliptera (eastern happy)
Lineage: Eukaryota; Metazoa; Chordata; Actinopteri; Cichliformes; Cichlidae
Source: Ensembl
UGAAGAAGAACAGCAUGUAAGCAUGCAUCUGAUAUGAUGCUCUCCUUUUUUCAGUGUUUUCACCUGAUUAUUAUUAUUACAGAGAUUAUAAUCCCAACCUGCAACUCAAGGACCAGCGACUGACCCAAAACUGAUGCCGGGUCAUAGGUUGUAACCCACAGUCCAGGUUCAGCUUCAUCCUAAACUUGUUGGAUGAAGGUACAAAACUUUAAGAUUCUUCGAAAUAAAGGGCCCACAUCAAUCAACCGCCCUGUUUUCAGCAUGCUUUAGGUUGUGUAGCGUGCAUUAACAGAACAAGCAUAUAGCACUAAGCACAAAUGAAACAGGCACUGAGUGACAAGAGACACAGUGAGGGCGGGAGGAGAGCGUGAGAGAGAGGAAGAGAGAGAGAAAGCGGCAAGCAGAAAGCUCAUAGCUAAGGAGCGAGAGCAGCAUCAGAAGAAGAGGAUCGCUUUAAAAAGGACAAAAUAAGGAAAAAACAAAAAAGGAAACUCACCAGUCCUGCUGAUGGUCAUACGUCAACUUUAAGUGGCUAAAAUCUCAGUGAGUAGGAGAGAGAGAGAAAAGUAAAUUCAUCACCACCAUGAAGCUGUGGAGCCGUGUCUGCUUCCUCGUUCUAGCAGUUUCUCCUAUUUGCCUGGGACAAAAUGGUACAAGUCAUGAGCAACCCAACGGUACAGUUUCUCCUGUCCCCUCAAUCACUGCCAGAUACGUUUUAAAAGGAACUGAAAAUAAGAUGCAAUAUGACACAGACCCUGAGAGUACUACAGCAGAGGAAACAAACAGUAUGCCUGGAGGCACAGUGGCUACUACUCUAACAAGUACUAAUGUACCAACAAAAGAGACUACCAGCAUAGUCACACAAGGAGGAGCACACCGUGGUGGUAAAAUGACUCAAACAACACCAAGUACCAGCUCAGGAACUACAGCACCCCCUCCACCUGGCUCGUCUGCAGGUUAUGUUGUCCUGGCGCUUAUCAUCAUAGUGAUUAUAAUUCUGUGUAUCAUCCUCUACCUCUUGAGGCGAGCCUCCAGGACAUAUUCAUUUGACCUCCAGCGUCCAAAUCCUGUUGGUCAUCUCAACCAGCCCACUGGCACCUUUGAGCCAGUCUACCUGGAUGAUCUGGAGCGACCGGUACCUAAAGAUAUUGAAGCCACCGAUGACCUUUCACCUCCACCGGUCGCUAAUGGCACGAGUCUACAGUCGGAGGAAAAGGACUCCACUGGAGAGAACGCUCCUGAGGAACAGCCAGAAGCAAAUGGUGUGGAGACUUCACCCGCUGAAAACACCACUCCCUCACUGAGUAGCGAUGAAGCUGACAAGAUAUCCAACCCACCGAGCAGUACCAGCCUUUUCUUUGAUGCUAUUGGGGAGCAGCAGAAUGAAAACAACAACAACCCAACAGUUUGCUCCAGUGACCCAUUUGUUGAAAUAAACCUGGACGAGCCGGCAUGGUGUGAUCAGCUCCUCAAUUCUUCUGAAGGUUCUUCCUCGGUCUUCCCCUUCUCUCCAUUCUCUUUAUCCUCCUCUUCCUCUUAGCACUUUGAAUGUUAUCCUCUUCCAUCAACAUAUAGGCAGAGAUUGUCUUUCGUAGCACAUGGACAUGAGCACAACAUGUGUUUUUUUUCCCAAAGCUAGUAUGGAUUGUGAAGUGAACAACCAAGGAAUUAACAUCAACCUGUAAACAUGAAGCUAGCUUUAACUGAUUUCUUAUUGUGUUUUUAUAUGUUUUUGUUCAAAUUUAUUGGUCUCAUUUAGUAUUUUUUCUAAGACUAUAUGAAGGACUUUAAACUGAUUUUAAUUGAAUUGUUUGAAACUGAGCAAUUUGGGAAGCUCAAAGAGGCAGUCCAAAAUUGCAUCGAAGAAAAAGAAGGAUUGAAGAAAUGUUAAUCACAACUUUUCCUGCAUUUAACUGACUUAUUAUUAUUGUUGCCUAACCACACUGCAAACUUCAUACCAAAGGAAGUAAAAUAAGCAAGGUAGCUUAUUUGUGACAUCUAGACUAAGCAAUAACGCCUGAACUUUUUUUUUUUUUCCAAAUGUCAUCACUUCAUGAGCGUAUAGAUUGGCUGCAGUUCCUCUCAGAUCUAACAUCCUUUGAAGUAGGCUAAAGUUUUCUCAGAAGAGAUGUUUGGUUUUAAGUCAGAUUAUUUUUGGGGAAAUUAGUGUGUACAAAGUACUCAUAUAGGAAACAGUUGAUUAACUUUUUGUACAGUUUAAUAUUGCAAUAAUAAGUUAUGGUUGUAAUCCCAAGACGCAAAUGGACAUACACAAGAAUGAUGCUUCAUUUGGGAACCACAUCUCAUUACCAAUAAACAUAAAACUAGCUUUAACGCUUCCUUAUGAUUUUUUUGUUUGUUUUAUACAUUAUCAGCACAUCAAACUUAAAUCAAAUGAGUUUUUUCCUAAAAUGUAGCAUUUUUCUACUUCAUUUUAUUUACUAAAGCAUCAUAAAACAAGAUUAAAGUUAACUUUAGCAGUGACAACUGUUACUCUCAAAUUAUCGAUGUAGGCUAGUUUCCCCUAAACCUACAGGGAGAUUUGUGAAAUCUCUGAACUAUAAAAAUACACUCUGUGUCAUAAUUGCUGUAAAUAUUUUUGUACACGAUAUAUUUUUUUUAGUAGAAUACUGUGAAUUAUUCACAUUUAUUCAAGUUCUAUAUUUUAAUUUUGUGACUCUGGAGGUUUCCAUUCUACUAGAUGUUUAAAUGCUUUCGUUUCUUUUAACCUACAUUUAUUUUGUCAUUUUUUUAAUAAACUGGUUUCUUUUCAGAAGCUAACUAAAUAUACAUUUCACCACUGCCAUUUUCCUCAAAGUGCUAAUUCAAACUGAUAUAUAAAUAUAUAAUUUUCUGACUAAUGUUAAAAAAAACAAACAUUGAGAAGUGUUACUUUGUUUCAUGUUAAAAAUCAAAUUGAUUCAAAUAAAACUAUUUUUUUUUCAGAAUUUCACUGUUAUCCCUUCUUCAUUCUUUUUAUUAUCCUGAUGGUUAAAAUGUCUCUCACUUAACUAAUUUUUGGGUUUAAUUCCAUUUGCUGCCUUACUCACACCAAACCUUUUCAGAAAGUCAUCUGUAUAUUCUUUGGUCCAUAUCAAAACUAUAAAACAAUUUUGACUACCUGUCUGUGAGUAUUUAUGCUUCUUCUUAGGGCCAUGGCCCUCAGGUCUCAGUGUCUUCAAUCACUUUAUUAGUGUUAAAUAGCUGAUGUUUUGUUUUUGUUGAUUUUUACACAACACAGAAAGCCUUGAUCAAGCCAGUAUUGUUUCUUCACAGAGCCAGCACACCAUAACAAAAAAUACUUUUGUCAAAUCCUAUAAUUAACU